UGGGGUGUAGCUCAAUAGGCAGAGCGCCUGGCUGUUAACCAGGAGGUUGGAGGUUCGAGCCCUCCCGCCCCAG
This 73-nucleotide transfer RNA is filed under the name Gammaproteobacteria bacterium. RNAcentral describes it as "tRNA-Asn". It matches the Rfam family "tRNA". From Rfam's summary of the family: Transfer RNA (tRNA) molecules are approximately 80 nucleotides in length. Their secondary structure includes four short double-helical elements and three loops (D, anti-codon, and T loops). The record is from RNAcentral. Lineage: Bacteria; Pseudomonadati; Pseudomonadota; Gammaproteobacteria.